Molecule: long non-coding RNA, 77 nt
Organism: Oxyura jamaicensis (ruddy duck)
Lineage: Eukaryota; Metazoa; Chordata; Aves; Anseriformes; Anatidae
Exons: 3
Source: RefSeq, a predicted model, not a curated record
GGAAGGGACCCUUAAGGAUCAUCAAGUCCAACUCUUGACACCGCAAAGGUCUACCCAAAAGUGCAGACCAGGUGCCU